GACGAGGGACCCUAGCGUUGUUCGGAAUCAUUGGGCGUAAAGCGGGUGUAGGUGGCUUUGUAAGUCAGGUGUGAAAUCCCUGGGCUCAACCCAGGACGUGCAUUUGAUACUGCGAAGCUUGAGUGCCGGAGAGGUUACUGGAAUACCUGGUGUAGUGGUGAAAUACGUAGAUAUCAGGUGGAACACCGGAGGCGAAGGCGGGUAACUGGCCGGACACUGACACUCAGACCCGAAAGCGUGGGGAUCAAACAGG
This 253-nucleotide ribosomal RNA is filed under the name uncultured bacterium. RNAcentral describes it as "partial 16S ribosomal RNA". It matches the Rfam family "Bacterial small subunit ribosomal RNA", at positions 524 to 776 of the family's 1533-position model. The record is from RNAcentral.